AAACCAACUGGGAUUACCUUAGUAACGGCGAGUGAAGCGGUAAAUGCUCAAAUUUGAAAUCUGGUACUUUCAGUGCCCGAGUUGUAAUUUGUAGAAUUUGUCUUUGAUUAGGUCCUUGUCUAUGUUCCUUGGAACAGGACGUCAUAGAGGGUGAGAAUCCCGUUUGGCGAGGAUACCUUUUCUCUGUAAGACUUUUUCGAAGAGUCGAGUUGUUUGGGAAUGCAGCUCAAAGUGGGUGGUAAAUUACAUCUAAAGCUAAAUAUUGGCGAGAGACCGAUAGCGAACAAGUACAGUGAUGGAAAGAUGAAAAGAACUUUGAAAAGAGAGUGAAAAAGUACGUGAAAUUGUUGAAAGGGAAGGGCAUUUGAUCAGACAUGGUGUUUUUUGCAUGCACUCGCCUCUCGUGGGCUUGGGCCUCUCAAAAAUUUCACUGGGCCAACAUCAAUUCUGGCAGCAGGAUAAAUCAUUAAGAAUGUAGCUACUUCGGUAGUGUUAUAGCUUUUUUGGAAUACUGUUAGUCC
This 521-nucleotide ribosomal RNA is filed under the name uncultured Hanseniaspora. Its description in RNAcentral is "eukaryotic LSU rRNA". It matches the Rfam family "Eukaryotic large subunit ribosomal RNA", at positions 62 to 582 of the family's 3401-position model. The record is from RNAcentral. Lineage: Eukaryota; Fungi; Ascomycota; Saccharomycetes; Saccharomycodales; Saccharomycodaceae.